RNAcentral lists this long non-coding RNA (1137 nucleotides) under Monodelphis domestica (gray short-tailed opossum). RNAcentral's name for it is "lncRNA (ENSMODG00000037324.1)". Lineage: Eukaryota; Metazoa; Chordata; Mammalia; Didelphimorphia; Didelphidae. The record is from RNAcentral.
CUCCCCUCUGGCAAUGCAAUCAUCAGUUAUUGACUUUGGAGGAUGCUUGAAAGCACCACAUGUAACAUCUUCCAAAUCAUUUUCUUGAUAUCCAUCAUCAGAUUCUCAUUGAGUUUCCUGCUUCGCCUGAGAGGCCUUGCUAUAUAAGGGCUCCUGGUGUGCAGUCUAGCUAGAGGAGGUAGAGAAGGAAAUUUGGAUUCCUGCUGAGAUUCCUUGGAGAGAUCCAGACAUGAAGACCUUACUGAUUUUAGGACUUGUGCUCUUCUGUGGCCAGUUCACACUGAACUUGGCCCAGGAACAAUCCUCUGAGCCUGCCCAGGCAUCAGGGACAACAGCAACUGGAACAGAUGACAACACAAAGACUCCCUCAGACCCCAUCUUGUAUUUAAAAGCUAACAUACACCUUGAACUGUUGAAGAAGCUUCAGAAAUUCUAUGAAAUUGUUAAGAAAAUACCAUUUUGGGGAGAUAUUUUGGGAAUGUUUAAGAUUGAUGUUUCAAAUGCCAAAAUCUUGAAUAUUGACAUUACACAUAAAACCGGCAGUAGCAGUCUGUCUGCCAAUAUUCCCGUGGAUUUUACAUUGCACAUAAGAACACUCCUACACCAGAUUUCAGUCCAUGUCAAUGCAAACACAUCACUGGUUCUCACAACUGAAGAGAAUGGAAAUGGAAAAUAUCAUAUGGUUGUUUCUAAGUGUCAUUCAAGCCCUCAACUUAUGGAAAUGAAUGGUCUACAAACGAACACUUUUAAAGAUAUGAUGAAAAUUAUAACCAAUAUUGUGGAUAUAAUUGUCCAGGAGGUUGGUUCUAAAAUAGUGUGCCCUGGAAUAAGAUUUGUAACCACAAAUUUGAUGACUUCAGACAAGGUAGAACUCUUAAACAAAAUGUAUUUGAGCGGCAGCAUUACUGCCUAAUUCUUCAUUAAAUGGACAGCUUUCCACCUCCAAAGAGCCAUUUAAGUCCAGAGGACAAAUUGCUGGAUCUUGUGUUUGAGAGAAAAUGUUUUCCCUUUGCUGACUCCUGCCACAGUAUCCUUACUUGGGCUUAUUGGAGCCACUUUCCUUGUAUGAAGAUUGUCUUUGGACAGUGAAUUCCUUCUCCCAGUUUCUCCUACAAUAAACUUCCCACUGUUUCAGCA